Molecule: ribosomal RNA, 520 nt
Filed under: Blautia obeum ATCC 29174
Lineage: Bacteria; Bacillati; Bacillota; Clostridia; Lachnospirales; Lachnospiraceae
Description: SSU rRNA
Rfam family: Bacterial small subunit ribosomal RNA
Source: RNAcentral
AGGAUGAACGCUGGCGGCGUGCUUAACACAUGCAAGUCGAACGGGAAACUUUUCAUUGAAGCUUCGGCAGAUUUGGUCUGUUUCUAGUGGCGGACGGGUGAGUAACGCGUGGGUAACCUGCCUUAUACAGGGGGAUAACAACCAGAAAUGGUUGCUAAUACCGCAUAAGCGCACAGGACCGCAUGGUCCGGUGUGAAAAACUCCGGUGGUAUAAGAUGGACCCGCGUUGGAUUAGCUAGUUGGCAGGGUAACGGCCUACCAAGGCGACGAUCCAUAGCCGGCCUGAGAGGGUGAACGGCCACAUUGGGACUGAGACACGGCCCAGACUCCUACGGGAGGCAGCAGUGGGGAAUAUUGCACAAUGGGGGAAACCCUGAUGCAGCGACGCCGCGUGAAGGAAGAAGUAUCUCGGUAUGUAAACUUCUAUCAGCAGGGAAGAUAGUGACGGUACCUGACUAAGAAGCCCCGGCUAACUACGUGCCAGCAGCCGCGGUAAUACGUAGGGGGCAAGCGUUAUCCG